AUACAGAGGGUGCGAGCGUUAAUCGGAAUUACUGGGCGUGAAGCGCGCGUAGGCGGCUGAUUAAGUCAGAUGUGAAAUCCCAGGGCUCAACCUUGGAACUGCAUCUGAUACUGGUCAGCUAGAGUUUAGGAGAGGGAAGUAGAAUUUCAGGUGUAGCGGUGAAAUGCAUAGAUAUCUGAAGGAAUACCAGUGGCGAAGGCGGCUUCCUGGCCUAAAACUGACGCUGAGGUGCGAAAGCGUGGGUAGCAAACGGGAUUAGAAACCCCAGUAGUCC
Molecule: ribosomal RNA, 274 nt
Filed under: uncultured bacterium
Lineage: Bacteria
Description: partial 16S ribosomal RNA
Rfam family: Bacterial small subunit ribosomal RNA
Source: RNAcentral